GUUCAUGUAGCUUAAACCCAAAGCAAGGCACUGAAAAUGCCUAGAUAAACUGUACCAGUUUCAUAAACA
RNAcentral lists this transfer RNA (69 nucleotides) under Laonastes aenigmamus (Laotian rock rat). Its description in RNAcentral is "tRNA-Phe". It matches the Rfam family "tRNA". From Rfam's summary of the family: Transfer RNA (tRNA) molecules are approximately 80 nucleotides in length. Lineage: Eukaryota; Metazoa; Chordata; Mammalia; Rodentia; Laonastidae. The record is from RNAcentral.